This 429-nucleotide ribosomal RNA is filed under the name Chloroflexota bacterium. RNAcentral describes it as "Chloroflexi bacterium partial 16S ribosomal RNA". It matches the Rfam family "Bacterial small subunit ribosomal RNA", at positions 355 to 776 of the family's 1533-position model. The record is from RNAcentral. Lineage: Bacteria; Bacillati; Chloroflexota.
UGGGGAAUAUUGCACAAUGGGCGCAAGCCUGAUGCAGCCAUGCCGCGUGUAUGAAGAAGGCCUUCGGGUUGUAAAGUACUUUCAGCGGGGAGGAAGGGAGUAAAGUUAAUACCUUUGCUCAUUGACGUUACCCGCAGAAGAAGCACCGGCUAACUCCGUGCCAGCAGCCGCGGUAAUACGGAGGGUGCAAGCGUUAAUCGGAAUUACUGGGCGUAAAGCGCACGCAGGCGGUUUGUUGAGUCAGAUGUGAAAUCCCCGGGCUCAACCUGGGAACUGCAUCUGAUACUGGCAAGCUUGAGUCUCGUAGAGGGGGGUAGAAUUCCAGGUGUAGCGGUGAAAUGCGUAGAGAUCUGGAGGAAUACCGGUGGCGAAGGCGGCCCCCUGGACGAAGACUGACGCUCAGGUGCGAAAGCGUGGGGAGCAAACAGG